This 253-nucleotide ribosomal RNA is filed under the name uncultured bacterium. RNAcentral describes it as "partial 16S ribosomal RNA". It matches the Rfam family "Bacterial small subunit ribosomal RNA", at positions 524 to 776 of the family's 1533-position model. The record is from RNAcentral.
UACGGAGGGUGCUAGCAUUAAUCGGAUUUAUUGGGCGUAAAGGGCGCGUAGGCGGCCGAGACAGUCAGAUGUGAAAUUCCAGGGCUUACCUCUGGAGCUGCAUUUGAAACUACUCGGCUAGAGGAUGGACGGAGAAAAUGGAAUUCCACAAGUAGCGGUGAAAUGCGUAGAUAUGUGGAAGAACACCGGUGGCGAAAGCGGUUUUCUAGUUCAUUCCUGACGCUGAGGCGCGAAAGCUAGGGGAGCAAACAGG